RNAcentral lists this ribosomal RNA (453 nucleotides) under uncultured bacterium. RNAcentral's name for it is "bacterial SSU rRNA". It matches the Rfam family "Bacterial small subunit ribosomal RNA", at positions 340 to 786 of the family's 1533-position model. The record is from RNAcentral.
UACGGAAGUCAGCAGUGGGGAAUAUUGCACAAUGGGCGCAAGCCUGAUGCAGCCAUGCCGCGUGUAUGAAGAAGGCCUUCGGGUUGUAAAGUACUUUCAGUCGUGAGGAAGGUGUUAAGGUUAAUAACCUUAGCAAUUGACGUUAGCGACAGAAGAAGCACCGGCUAACUCCGUGCCAGCAGCCGCGGUAAUACGGAGGGUGCGAGCGUUAAUCGGAAUUACUGGGCGUAAAGGGCACGCAGGCGGUUAAUUAAGUUGGAUGUGAAAUCCCCGGGCUUAACCUGGGAAUGGCAUUCAAGACUGGUUAGCUAGAGUCUUGUAGAGGGGGUAGAAUUCCAUGUGUAGCGGUGAAAUGCGUAGAGAUGUGGAGGAAUACCGGUGGCGAAGGCGGCCCCUGGACAAAGACUGACGCUCAUGUGCGAAAGCGUGGGGAGCAAACAGGGAUUAGAUACC